Molecule: ribosomal RNA, 171 nt
Filed under: uncultured bacterium
Lineage: Bacteria
Description: partial 16S ribosomal RNA
Rfam family: Bacterial small subunit ribosomal RNA
Source: RNAcentral
UGAAGUUGGAGUUGCUAGUAAUCGCGAAUCAGAAUGUCGCGGUGAAUACGUUCCCGGGCCUUGUACACACCGCCCGUCAAGCCAUGAAAGCCGGGGGUACCUGAAGUGCGUAACCGCAAGGAGCGCCCUAGGGUAAAACUGGUGAUUGGGGCUAAGUCGUAACAAGGUAAC